UACGUAGGGGGCGAGCGUUGUCCGGAGUUACUGGGCGUAAAGCGCACGCAGGCGGUCUGCUAAGUUUGGAGUGACAGUUGGUGGCUUAACUGCCAAAGUGCUUCGAAAACUGACAGACUUGGGGGCUUCAGAGGGACACGGAAUUCCGGGUGGAGUGGUGAAAUGCGUAGAGAUCCGGAGGAACACCAAAGGCGAAGGCAGUGUCCUGGGGAGUACCUGACGCUCAGGUGCGAAAGCCAGGGGAGCGAACGGG
Molecule: ribosomal RNA, 253 nt
Filed under: uncultured bacterium
Lineage: Bacteria
Description: partial 16S ribosomal RNA
Rfam family: Bacterial small subunit ribosomal RNA
Source: RNAcentral